This 253-nucleotide ribosomal RNA is filed under the name uncultured bacterium. RNAcentral's name for it is "partial 16S ribosomal RNA". It matches the Rfam family "Bacterial small subunit ribosomal RNA", at positions 524 to 776 of the family's 1533-position model. The record is from RNAcentral.
UACGUAGGUGGCAAGCGUUACUCGGAAUCACUAGGCGUAAAGCGCAGGUAGGCGGUUUGGUAAGUCUUUUGUGAAAGCUCCCGGCUCAACUGGGAGAGGUCAAAGGAAACUACUAGGCUAGAGUGUGGUAGGGGAUACCGGAAUUCCUGGUGUAGCGGUGAAAUGCGUAGAUAUCAGGAGGAAUACCUAUGGCGAAAGCAGGUAUCUGGGCCAUCACUGACGCUGAGCUGCGAAAGCUAGGGGAGCAAACAGG